CCGGUGACAAACCGGAGGAAGGUGGGGAUGACGUCAAGUCAUCAUGGCCCUUACGGCCUGGGCUACACACGUGCUACAAUGGUCGGUACAAAGGGUUGCCAAGCCGCGAGGUGGAGCUAAUCCCAUAAAACCGAUCGUAGUCCGGAUCGCAGUCUGCAACUCGACUGCGUGAAGUCGGAAUCGCUAGUAAUCGUGAAUCAGAAUGUCACGGUGAAUACGUUCCCGGGCCUU
RNAcentral lists this ribosomal RNA (231 nucleotides) under uncultured Pseudomonas sp. RNAcentral's name for it is "partial 16S ribosomal RNA". It matches the Rfam family "Bacterial small subunit ribosomal RNA", at positions 1152 to 1382 of the family's 1533-position model. Lineage: Bacteria; Pseudomonadati; Pseudomonadota; Gammaproteobacteria; Pseudomonadales; Pseudomonadaceae. The record is from RNAcentral.